AUGUAUUGAUUGAAUAAACAAAGCACCACAAUAUCAACAAUAAAGAAAAAACCCUAAUGAAUCAAUAGAAAAAUAAAAGCCUAACAAAGUUAAAAGAGCAGACAUAAAAUCAACUCUACCAAUAUUGUUAGGCCAAAUCCAACAUUAGGCAACAGGCAGAGCUGGCAAACCAUCAUUGUCCAAGAUAAACACCAAGGAUGAUGGUGAGUGAUGAAUCCAACCCUCCAAACGCAUCUCUACUUUAGAAUGCUUAGCGACCCUUUUGAUCCUUUAGAUUAAAAAGUUAUUCACCUGAUUUUUUUUAAAAAAAUAUCAAACCUUUUCAGAAUCGGUUUCAGCUUCCACCUCUCAGAAUCCCUUUUCUUAGUUUCCGAAAAACCAAUAAAAGAAUUAGUUUGCAUAAGCACAUUCUCCCAUCUAUUUUUAUCAGAAAGGUCGACCCCUUUAGUGACCACCAUAGCUUCUACAACCUCAACCUCAUCCGCUGUCUUCUUCUCAGCUGCUCCAUCAAGAACCAUUCCUCUACCGUCUCUACAAAUGACACCUACACUAGCUUUACCAUAUUUAACAUCGAAAGCCCCAUCGCAGUUAAUCUUAACCCAUCCUUCUGGUGGUCUCCCCCAAACUUCUUCAAGAGUACCCUCCUGCUUAAAAUCCCUCUCAGUCGAGCAUUCAUUCCUAACUGCUAUAUAUUCUUGAGUAGCAGAUUUUAUUAUACAGAUGACCCCAUUAAUAACUACCUACUUACCACCAAGAAGGACCUCACACCUCAUCUUCCAAAUAAACCAGCAUACAAAAAUGAUUCUAGUGGUAAGACCCUUAACCCCCCCCCCCCAACAUUUGACAAAUUUUAAACAUAAACAUUUCUAACUAAAAUAAAUUUAAUAGGUGGCUAAUUACAAUUAUGACACUAGAGAUGGUAGUAAACAAUGUUGCAACAUCGGAUGGACUAUAGUCGGUGAUAGUACUCAAUGAGGAAUGCUACGACUCUAGUAGAAUGAGUGUUGCAACGGUCAAGACUAGCAAUACCCACAUUCUUGAAGGCAGUGAAUAACAUCGUGAUGUGGGAUAUCUUAUUGUCACGAUAGAAGAAAAAAAAUUGAAGUAUAAAAUGUUUUAGACUAAACAGCAUGUUGUGACUGUAAAGGUCGGGUGAGUGUAAAGAGUUAAAAGCACCAUUUUCAUUUGUCUUCUUCAUUUUCCCUUUUCUCUUCUUGACUACUUCUUUGAGGACUUUAUUUUGCUCAUCAUGAUUCUCUCAAGAAGGCAUUGUGGGUUUUUUGUGGUCAAG
Molecule: long non-coding RNA, 1291 nt
Filed under: Gossypium raimondii (Peruvian cotton)
Lineage: Eukaryota; Viridiplantae; Streptophyta; Magnoliopsida; Malvales; Malvaceae
Description: long non-coding RNA (GRAI_LNC002389)
Source: RNAcentral